RNAcentral lists this ribosomal RNA (791 nucleotides) under uncultured bacterium. RNAcentral's name for it is "bacterial SSU rRNA". It matches the Rfam family "Bacterial small subunit ribosomal RNA", at positions 8 to 796 of the family's 1533-position model. The record is from RNAcentral.
AGAGUUUGAUCCUGGCUCAGAUUGAACGCUGGCGGCAUGCCUUACACAUGCAAGUCGAACGGCAGCGCGGGGCAACCUGGCGGCGAGUGGCGAACGGGUGAGUAAUACAUCGGAACGUGCCCAGUAGUGGGGGAUAGCCCGGCGAAAGCCGGAUUAAUACCGCAUACGACCCACGGGUGAAAGGGGGGGAUCGCAAGACCUCUCGCUAUUGGAGCGGCCGAUGUCAGAUUAGGUUGUUGGUGGGGUAAAAGCCUACCAAGCCGACGAUCUGUAGCUGGUCUGAGAGGACGACCAGCCACACUGGGACUGAGACACGGCCCAAACUCCUACGGGAGGCAGCAGUGGGGAAUUUUGGACAAUGGGCGCAAGCCUGAUCCAGCCAUGCCGCGUGCGGGAAGAAGGCCUUCGGGUUGUAAACCGCUUUUGUCAGGGAAGAAACGCUCUGGAAUAAUACUCCGGGGUAAUGACGGUACCUGAAGAAUAAGCACCGGCUAACUACGUGCCAGCAGCCGCGGUAAUACGUAGGGUGCAAGCGUUAAUCGGAAUUACUGGGCGUAAAGCGUGCGCAGGCGGUCGUAAAAGACAGAUGUGAAAUCCCCGGGCUUAACCUGGGAACUGCAUUUGUGACUGUACGGCUGGAGUGCGGCAGAGGGGGAUGGAAUUCCGCGUGUAGCAGUGAAAUGCGUAGAUAUGCGGAGGAACACCGAUGGCGAAGGCAAUCCCCUGGGCCUGCACUGACGCUCAUGCACGAAAGCGUGGGGAGCAAACAGGAUUAGAUACCCUGGUAGUCG